GGGUUCAUGGCCUAAUGGUAAGGCGUCAGAUUUCGGUUCCGUCAAUAGUCUUUCCACUCUCUGAAGAUUGCAGGUUCGAUCCCUGCUGAGCUCG
This 94-nucleotide transfer RNA is filed under the name Daldinia vernicosa. RNAcentral describes it as "tRNA-Arg". It matches the Rfam family "tRNA". Rfam says of the family: Transfer RNA (tRNA) molecules are approximately 80 nucleotides in length. The record is from RNAcentral. Lineage: Eukaryota; Fungi; Ascomycota; Sordariomycetes; Xylariales; Hypoxylaceae.